Molecule: ribosomal RNA, 645 nt
Filed under: Triticum aestivum (bread wheat)
Lineage: Eukaryota; Viridiplantae; Streptophyta; Magnoliopsida; Poales; Poaceae
Description: partial small subunit ribosomal RNA
Source: RNAcentral
AUGGACGGAGACAACAGUGGUGUGCACAAUGAAUUUGACCUCUUCAUGACAAGCACACACAACCACCUACUCCAGCACAACCAUAGUGAUGAGAUGGAUGACUUGCUUGGAGCCUCUACUAUCGUGGGCAACACUGAUGAUGCCAACGUUGUUGUUGCAGACCACGAAAACAACGAUGGAGAGACCCAUAGUGAGCAGAGAAUGGCCACAAGGCGUGCAAAGUAUCAUCGUCUGCGCAGUGAACAAAUCCAACAACUUGAAGCUGUGUUCCGGGAUUGCCCUUAUCCAAAUGAGAAACUCCGGAAGGACCUUAGCGAGAGGCUUGGCAUGAGUGCCCAACAGGUCAAGUUUUGGUUCCAAAAUAAACGCACCUUCAACAAGGGCAAGAUGCAGCAGUGGGAGACCCAAAAUUGUUGGGUAGAAAACGAGAAGCUGAAAACUGAACGUCAAGCCAUCAUGUUGGCUAUGCAAAACAAGACUUGCCUCAAAUGCAGAGGGGUGAUGGUACAAACACAGCAUACUUUGGAGUUCCAAUUCCUAUACACCGAGAAUAUGAGGCUCAAGGAAGAACUCCUACAUGCCACUGCCUAUCUUAAAGAGGGUCUUCGCCGAAAUGGCAUGUCGCUCCCAUCGGCCCGCGACUGA